This 1238-nucleotide ribosomal RNA is filed under the name uncultured bacterium. Its description in RNAcentral is "bacterial SSU rRNA". It matches the Rfam family "Bacterial small subunit ribosomal RNA", at positions 94 to 1350 of the family's 1533-position model. The record is from RNAcentral.
AGUGGCGAACGGGUGAGUAACACGUGAGUAACCUGCCCUUCACUGUGGGAUAACGAGAAGAAAUUCUUGCUAAUACCGCAUGUUCAUAUGUCCUCGCAUGGGGGUGUGUGGAAAGUUUUUUCGGUGGGGGAUGGACUCGCGGCCUAUCAGCUUGUUGGUGGGGUAGUGGCUCACCAAGGCUUUGACGGGUAGCCGGCCUGAGAGGGCGACCGGCCACACUGGGACUGAGAUACGGCCCAGACUCCUACGGGAGGCAGCAGUGGGGAAUAUUGCACAAUGGACGGAAGUCUGAUGCAGCAACGCCGCGUGCGGGAUGACGGCCUUUCGGGUUGUAAACCGCUUUCACCAGGGGCGAAUUUGACGGUACCUGGAGAAGAAGCACCGGCUAACUACGUGCCAGCAGCCGCGGUGAUACGUAGGGUGCGAGCGUUGUCCCGGAUUUAUUGGGCGUAAAGAGCUCGUAGGUGGUUUGUUGCGUCGGGAGUGAAAACAGACAGCUUAACUGUGUGCUUGCUUUCGAUACGGGCAGACUUGAGGGAUGUAGGGGAGAACGGAAUUCCUGGUGGAGCGGUGGAAUGCGCAGAUAUCAGGAGGAACACCGGUGGCGAAGGCGGUUCUCUGGACAUUUCCUGACGCUGAGGAGGGAAAGCGUGGGGAGCAAACAGGCUUAGAUACCCUGGUAGUCCACGCCGUAAACGGUGGGCACUAGGUGUGGGGGACUUCCACGUUCUCCGUGCCGUAGCUAACGCAUUAAGUGCCCCGCCUGGGGAGUACGGCCGCAAGGCUAAAACUCAAAGGAAUUGACGGGGGCCCGCACAAGCGGCGGAGCAUGCGGAUUAAUUCGAUGCAACGCGAAGAACCUUACCUGGGUUUGACAUGCACCAGACGACAGCAGAGAUGUUGUUUCCUUCGGGCUGGUGUGCAGGUGGUGCAUGGCUGUCGUCAGCUCGUGUCGUGAGAUGUUGGGUUAAGUCCCGCAACGAGCGCAACCCUCGUCCUAUGUUGCCAGCGGGUUAUGCCGGGAACUCAUGGGAGACUGCCGGGGUCAACUCGGAGGAAGGUGGGGAUGACGUCAAGUCAUCAUGCCCCUUAUGUCCAGGGCUUCACGCAUGCUACAAUGGCUGGUACAAAGUGUUGCGAUCCUGUGAGGGUGAGCGAAUCACGUAAAGCCAGUCUCAGUUCGGAUUGGGGUCUGCAACUCGACCCCAUGAAGUCGGAGUCGCUAGUAAUCGCAGAUC